Long non-coding RNA from Saccostrea echinata, 708 nucleotides. RefSeq lists it as uncharacterized. The record is from RefSeq and is a predicted model, not a curated record. Lineage: Eukaryota; Metazoa; Mollusca; Bivalvia; Ostreida; Ostreidae. The transcript is spliced from 2 exons.
UACAACAGCUCUAGAAACAUCUUUCAACACAGUUUAUUGAAUAGCCAAAGACUAAAAUUCAAGCAGCAUGAAAGAAAGACAAUUUUGAUCCGAUACUAGUAUCUGCAUUUGCAGUAUAUAGAAAAUACUACAGUUCAAAAUGUUCCUGAAUUGGAUCCUCAUAAACAUCAACAGUCUAUUGGUAGGAGUGAAACACUAUUGAUGAACAUUGUGCGGGUAGCUGGUCGGUGGACUCCGGUCGGUGAGUGGGGUACGUCACACCCCAAUCUCAAUGUUUAAGACUUUAAUUCCAACAACUGUAGAAUCAUCUUCAGUGUUGAAUUUAAAUAUCUGAGGAUUGCAGUGCAAGCAGCAUAAAGUAGGACAUGUUUAAUCUUGCUAAACCCUAACCACACUUCCACAAGAUUAAAAGGCCAAAAUGAGAAAUAUUCCAGUACAAAAUCUUCCUCGCCUUACAGUUUAUUUUGAUGAUUGUCAGCAUAUUUAUUUUGAUGAUUGUCAGCAUAGUUUUACCUAUUUAACAGUAGGAUAGACUUCAAUGGUAUUACUAUCUAUAAAGAGACAGUUUUAAAAUUCAAGUCCCUGAUUCAUUUCAUGUCUUCAAGGUUGAGAAAUGGGAGUGUUGGUGGAGUGGUAGUACCUUUGUGUUAUCACCAAUACUCUGGUCCACACACCACACUUAGCUCACUUUCAGCCUCCAUGAUGCCA